Molecule: ribosomal RNA, 324 nt
Filed under: uncultured Spirochaetota bacterium
Lineage: Bacteria; Pseudomonadati; Spirochaetota
Description: bacterial SSU rRNA
Rfam family: Bacterial small subunit ribosomal RNA
Source: RNAcentral
AACGAACGCUGGCGGCGUGUCUUAAGCAUGCAAGUCGAGCGGCAAGGGUAGCAAUACCCCUAGAGCGGCGGACUGGUGAGUAACACGUGGGUGAUCUACCUCGGGGUUGGGGAUAGCCAUUAGAAAUAGUGGGUAAUACCGAAUACGAUCCGUUGACUACGGUCAGCGGAGGAAAGGCGCUACGGCGCCGCCCUGAGAUGAGCCCGCGCCCCAUUAGCUAGUUGGUGGGGUAAUGGCCUACCAAGGCGAUGAUGAGUAGCCGGCCUGAGAGGGUGUACGGCCACACUGGGACUGAGAUACGGCCCAGACUCCUACGGGUGGCAG